RNAcentral lists this transfer RNA (70 nucleotides) under Anolis carolinensis (green anole). It matches the Rfam family "tRNA". Rfam says of the family: Transfer RNA (tRNA) molecules are approximately 80 nucleotides in length. Lineage: Eukaryota; Metazoa; Chordata; Lepidosauria; Squamata; Anolidae. The record is from Rfam by way of RNAcentral.
GGUGUAGUAGUUUGUACUUGUAUGUUGGACUGUAAUUCUGGAGACCAGGGUUCGAAUCCCUGCUUAGCCA